CCGAGCAGCUGGGCUGUAGGCACUUCAGGGACCACUGAUUACAGUGUGAGGCAGAGCUGCUGCUGUUAGCGGUCACUGAGGCGGCCUUAUUAACCCGGCUGCCUUGUGGAAGGUAGCCUGGGACUCACAAGGUCAAAUGGUGGACACAACAAAAGACUGUGUGUGUUUCGGUUGAGCCCUCUCGUUAUUCGGGUUAAGGCUUCAGUCAAGCAACCUUCCUUAUCAAGUGGACCUGGCACAGCUCCUACUUAUCCCUGAGUAGUGGGUAUCAGUUUCCUGCCAGUCAUGGAGUUGUUCAAAGCCCAUCACAUGCUCCUGCAAGGACCAGGGGGCACCUCACCCUCUUGUUACCACCCGCUGCCCCUGCCUGUUCACUCUGCUCCUGAGGGCAAUGCCUGUGUGGCUGGCAUCCAGUGCUGUGUCCACCUCUUCCAAGCUGCAAGUGUAUGUGAAUAAUAACUGCUGUCAAUCUCA
This is a long non-coding RNA of Sapajus apella (tufted capuchin), 474 nucleotides long. RefSeq lists it as uncharacterized. The record is from RefSeq and is a predicted model, not a curated record. NCBI's taxonomy places the organism in Eukaryota, Metazoa, Chordata, Mammalia, Primates, Cebidae. The transcript is spliced from 2 exons.